RNAcentral lists this ribosomal RNA (497 nucleotides) under uncultured bacterium. Its description in RNAcentral is "partial 16S ribosomal RNA". It matches the Rfam family "Bacterial small subunit ribosomal RNA", at positions 28 to 507 of the family's 1533-position model. The record is from RNAcentral.
GAUGAACGCUGGCGGCGUGCCUAAUACAUGCAAGUCGAGCGAACAGACGAGGAGCUUGCUCCUCUUACGUUAGCGGCGGACGGGUGAGUAACACGUGGAUAACCUACCUAUAAGACUGGGAUAACUUCGGGAAACCGGAGCUAAUACCGGAUAAUAUAUUGAACCGCAUGGUUCAAUAGUGAAAGACGGUUUUGCUGUCACUUAUAGAUGGAUCCGCGCCGCAUUAGCUAGUUGGUAAGGUAACGGCUUACCAAGGCAACGAUGCGUAGCCGACCUGAGAGGGUGAUCGGCCACACUGGAACUGAGACACGGUCCAGACUCCUACGGGAGGCAGCAGUAGGGAAUAUUCCGCAAUGGGCGAAAGCCUGACGGAGCAACGCCGCGUGAGUGAUGAAGGUCUUCGGAUCGUAAAACUCUGUUAUUAGGGAAGAACAAAUGUGUAAGUAACUAUGCACGUCUUGACGGUACCUAAUCAGAAAGCCACGGCUAACUACGUG